GCAGAUUCAUUUUCUGCCACCGAAUACAUUAGCAUGGGAUAAUGGAAUAGGACCCUGUCCUCCUAUUUUCAGUUGGUUUUGGCAGCGCGAGGACUAGGGUAAUGAUUAAUAGGGAUAGUUGGGGGCAUUAAUAUUUAAUUGUCAGAGGUGAAAUUCUUGGAUUUAUGAAAGAUUAACUUCUGCGAAAGCAUCUGCCAAGGAUGUUUUCAUUAAUCAAGAACGAAAGUUAGGGGAUCGAAGACGAUCAGAUACCGUCGUAGUCUUAACCAUAAACGAUGCCGACCAGCGAUUAGGAGACGUUGAAUACAAAACACCACCAUCGGCGCGGUCGUCCUUGGCGUUCGUGUUCACGCACGAGCGCGAGGGCGGUUUAGCCCGGUGGCACCGGUGAAUGACUCCCCUAGC
This 405-nucleotide ribosomal RNA is filed under the name Acanthamoeba genotype T4. RNAcentral's name for it is "SSU rRNA". The stretch from base 1 to 349 matches the Rfam family "Eukaryotic small subunit ribosomal RNA", at positions 780 to 1114 of the family's 1831-position model. The record is from RNAcentral. Lineage: Eukaryota; Discosea; Longamoebia; Acanthamoebidae.